RNAcentral lists this long non-coding RNA (1436 nucleotides) under Olea europaea subsp. europaea. Lineage: Eukaryota; Viridiplantae; Streptophyta; Magnoliopsida; Lamiales; Oleaceae. The record is from RNAcentral.
CUGAAAAAUAAAAUUCUNCUUCCUUUGAAAGAGUCCCCAUUGGUCCAAGUAAGAGUUCCCUUGCCUGACAUCUUCCCCCCCUUCAUAUUUCCCAAAUACAAAUUUCCGUUAGACCACGUAUACUUACCAGGCCCUUCUGGGGUUCCAUGCAUCCACGAACCUUCAAAUACAUCGCUAUUAGGAAAUAUUUGAUAUCCCAAACCAUGUUUGAUAUUUAACCUCCACCGACCAUUAUAGGUUAUACUGUCAGGUCUGGUAUAAGUUCCCUUGCCAUGCAUAUAAUUACUUGAAAAUUCACUUUCAUAAAGAGCGCCAGAUGGCCAUAGAAAUUUUCCAUAUCCAUUCCUCAUCCCAUAUUCCACUCACCCUCAUACUUGCAACCAUUUGACCAGACAUAGCUCCCAGAACCCUCAGGUAUAUUGCUCAGUAGGGAUCUAGAAUAAAAUUCUCCAUUGUUUAAUAAGAUCUCUCCCGAUAUAAAGCUAGUUGUUUCAGAAGAAGCACAACAAAUCUCCCCAGUUAAUUCAGCGAGGUACCCUUUGUCAUUAGAUAAUGUAGUAUCAAGAGAUCUUGUUCUAUCAGAUAAUGAUAGUACACUUUCACCACCAUCAACAACGAGCACUGGGACAGACAUGCAUAAUGCCAAAAAGUUUUCAGUUCCAAACGCAGAUGGAAAUCACCUGAAUGUCCACAUGAGGUGGAAGAACUUAGAUUUCUUGUCUUCAAUCCUUUGGAAAUAGACAUAAACAUCACCAGUUAUGUCUUUUGGGCAUAAAAGCAUGAUAGAUUUCAACAAACCACAAAAUUUAACAAUAGCCAAGUGUUCCCAGAGAUGGAUUUAUCACUUACCAGUUGGUCAAAUAAAAUUUUAUGACACUUUGCUAAAGAUUGAUACAUAUGGUUCACAAUGCAACAAGGAAAGGAGAAUAUUGAGGACGAAAAUGAAUAUGCUAUCAUGCCAGAACAUGAAUAAUAAAAGAAGCUAUCAAAAUCCCAAUAAUAACAUAAUCAGAAGGCAUUAAUAUCACAUGUGAAUAUGACUAAGAGCAACUAGUGUUUCGACAUAUCUGUAUAGUAACAGAAAUAGAGUGUUAUUUGAACUACAGACCUCUACUAGUUGAAUUCAACAUACAUAUGAAAGAAUAAAAGCAUAUUUUAGAGAUACGUGCGCUAAUUAUGAAUAAUUCUUAAAGCAAAGCAAGCACAAGUGAAUCCCAUCAAUGACAUGGCAAGGCGAAUGACACAGGGUAACAAUGACAAAUCAUGUUAAAGGCCUUGGCUCAGCAUAGGAUCAAACAGUAGGAAGCAAGAACUGCGAAUGACAAGAGAAGGCCAAUUAGUCAAGGCUAAACCGAACAAAAAGCAGCUUGCAGUAAGACCAUUCAUCCAGCAAUUCUGAUACAUUCCAACAGACACUCAGCAUGUGCAAAAGACAG